Molecule: ribosomal RNA, 406 nt
Filed under: uncultured bacterium
Lineage: Bacteria
Description: partial 16S ribosomal RNA
Rfam family: Bacterial small subunit ribosomal RNA
Source: RNAcentral
AUUGAACGCUGGCGGCAGGCUUAACACAUGCAAGUCGAGCGAGCGGCGGACGGGUGAGUAAUGUCUGGGAAACUGCCUGAUGGAGGGGGAUAACUACUGGAAACGGUAGCUAAUACCGCAUACUAUCGGAUGUGCCCAGAUGGGAUUAGCUUGUAGGUGGGGUAAUGGCUCACCUAGGCGACGAUCCCUAGCUGGUCUGAGAGGAUGACCGGCGACACGGGAACUGAGACACGGUCCAGAGUCCUACGGGAGGCAGCAGGGGGGAAUAUUGCACAAUGGGCGCAGGCCUGAUGCAGCCAGGCCGCGUGUGGGAAGAAGGCUUUAGGGUUGUAAAGCACUUUCAGCGAGGAGGCGUUACUCGCAGAAGAAGCACCGGCUAACUCCGUGCCAGCAGCCGCGGUAAUAC